This 467-nucleotide ribosomal RNA is filed under the name uncultured bacterium. RNAcentral's name for it is "partial 16S ribosomal RNA". It matches the Rfam family "Bacterial small subunit ribosomal RNA", at positions 28 to 506 of the family's 1533-position model. The record is from RNAcentral.
GACGAACGCUGGCGGCGUGCUUAACUCAUGCAAGUCGAACGGAAAGGCCCUGCUUUUGUGGGGUGCUCGAGUGGCGAACGGGUGAGUAACACGUGAGUAACCUGCCCUUGACUUUGGGAUAACUUCAGGAAACUGGGGCUAAUACCGGAUAGGAGCUCCUGCUGCAUGGUGGGGGUUGGAAAGUUUCGGCGGUUGGGGAUGGACUCGCGGCUUAUCAGCUUGUUGGUGGGGUAGUGGCUUACCAAGGCUUUGACGGGUAGCCGGCCUGAGAGGGUGACCGGCCACAUUGGGACUGAGAUACGGCCCAGACUCCUACGGGAGGCAGCAGUGGGGAAUAUUGCACAAUGGGCGGAAGCCUGAUGCAGCAACGCCGCGUGCGGGAUGACGGCCUUCGGGUUGUAAACCGCUUUCGCCUGUGACGAAGCGUGAGUGACGGUAAUGGGUAAAGAAGCACCGGCGAACUACGU